GAGCAAUGAAGAGAACCGCGCUCUUGUGAUGGUAGGGUCCAUCACUCUCACCGAUUUAACGAUGAGAAACUGCGCAUCUAAGCUU
Molecule: small nucleolar RNA, 85 nt
Organism: Gossypium raimondii (Peruvian cotton)
Lineage: Eukaryota; Viridiplantae; Streptophyta; Magnoliopsida; Malvales; Malvaceae
Rfam family: small nucleolar RNA snoR114
Source: Rfam